AGCAGCCGCGGUAAUUCCAGCUCCAAUAGCGUAUAUUAAAGUUGUUGCAGUUAAAAAGCUCGUAGUUGAAUUUCGGGGUUAGUAGGUUGGUCGUGCCACUGGUAUGUACUGGUUCUACUGAUCCCUCCUUCUUGUAGAACCGUAAUGCCAUUCACUUGGUGUUGCGGGGAAACAGGACUGUUACUUUGAAAAAAUUAGAGUGUUUAAAGCAGGCUAACGCUUGAAUACAUUAGCAUGGAAUAAUGAAAUAGGACGUUCGAUCCUAUUUUGUUGGUUUCUAGGAUUGACGUAAUGAUUAAUAGGGAUAGUUGGGGGCAUUAGUAUUCAAUUGUCAGAGGUGAAAUUCUUGGAUUUAUUGAAGACUAACUACUGCGAAAGCAUUUGCCAAGGAUGUUUUCAUUAAUCAAGAACGAAAGUUAGGGGAUCGAAGACGAUCAGAUACCGUCGUAGUCUUAACCAUAAACUAUGCCGACUAGGGAUCGGAUGAUGUUAAUUUUUUUAAUGACUCAUUCGGCGCCUU
This 520-nucleotide ribosomal RNA is filed under the name uncultured Glomeromycotina. Its description in RNAcentral is "SSU rRNA". It matches the Rfam family "Eukaryotic small subunit ribosomal RNA", at positions 569 to 1089 of the family's 1831-position model. The record is from RNAcentral. Lineage: Eukaryota; Fungi; Glomeromycota.